CCUCUCUAUCCUAUAGCCAUCCAGUGAUUGAAGGUUGGUACAGACUACUGGAGCUGACUGGGAGAUUCACCAACAGCAGCCAGCAUUAAAGAGAGCGUGCUCCAUUCUGAUAGGCAUUCCCACAAUGUGGCUGGUUUUAACAACAACCUG
This 150-nucleotide long non-coding RNA is filed under the name Mustela putorius furo (domestic ferret). RNAcentral's name for it is "lncRNA (ENSMPUG00000025817.1)". Lineage: Eukaryota; Metazoa; Chordata; Mammalia; Carnivora; Mustelidae. The record is from RNAcentral.